Molecule: long non-coding RNA, 840 nt
Filed under: Callithrix jacchus (white-tufted-ear marmoset)
Lineage: Eukaryota; Metazoa; Chordata; Mammalia; Primates; Cebidae
Description: lncRNA (ENSCJAG00000071015.1)
Source: RNAcentral
CAUGAAAGGGAAUUUAUUAUUGCCUCAAUUGAGAGUGUCAAAGGGUUGCUUUAAGUGAGAUAGAAAAACCUUAAGGAAAGUUCAUAGUAGGUCCUCAGUGGUGGAGGGAACCAUUCCAAAGCAGUGCCACCACACAUCUAAGGUCAGAUGUCUGACAGACUAAGUUGAGUCCUUAAGGGGGGAUGCUCUCAGGGAACCUAGUCUGGGCCCAGAAUUUUUCUCUGGGGACACCCGGGUAAAAUUUGGGUCGCCUAAUAAGCCCUCCACUUUUCAAAGUCCUCUUCUCUUUUCCAGAUCACUAUGGGCAAAUCUAUUCCACCUGUUUCCACUGUGGGCAGCUCCCCACCUAUUCCACCUGGUUCCCUGCUUGGCUACAUCAUCCACUGUUGGAAUCAAUUUGACCCUGACAAUCUAAAGAGAACAGAGACCAUCGAGCUUCAGAUGCUCGUGAAACAAGGUUUCCAGCCAGUUCCAGGUGAAGACACCACCCCCAGCCAUCAGGAAGCCACCUGGUCUCCACUAGACAGAGUAGGACAAAAGUUCCAUGAUCUCCAACAGACAAAGGUGCUGAGGCCCUGGACUUCCUGGUGUGCUGGACCACUGUCCCUUCUCAGGGCUAUGGGUGCCACCCAGAGCCUGGGGUCAGAGAGAGGCAGGCAGGCUGGACCCUAGCUCCUCUCUUAGGGCCAGGUAGGUGUAUUUCACUCCUCUAGGAAAAUAGUUUUCUACUACUAUGUAUGAUGCUUUUUUAUUAUGAAACUAAUGUUAGUUGUAGGUUUUUGUAGAUAUUCUUUAUCUCAAGUUGGGUAAGUUCCCCUCUAUUCCUAGUUUACUGAGCUC